Myotis lucifugus (little brown bat) is the source of this 105-nucleotide small nuclear RNA. NCBI's taxonomy places the organism in Eukaryota, Metazoa, Chordata, Mammalia, Chiroptera, Vespertilionidae. The record is from Ensembl.
GUGCUCAUUUCGGCAGCACAUAUAUUAAAAUUGGAACGAUACAGACAUUAGCAUGGCCCCCUGUGCAAGGAUGACAUGCAAAUUGGUGAAGCGUUACAUAUAAAA